AAAAGCUAAAACAAGUGUGAACAGGUUCCAGUCAAGCGGUCACUAUCCCUGGACAGACACAAUGAGGGAUUUUGAUGAAGACACUGCAUUUUUAGGAGACUGGGGGCCUUAUCAAAAAUUAAUCUUCAUUCUCCUGGGUCUCAGCAGCAUCCCCAAUGGAUACGUGGGAAUGGCCAUGGUUUUCAUGGCUGAUAUUCCUCCUCACCACUGCAGGCUUCCAUUCCUGAACAGCAGCAGCUAUGGGGGACCGGGCUACAAUCUGUCCCUCCCGACCGAGGAGGUAAGAGGAGAGGUCAUCCUGAGUCGCUGCAGACGCUAUGCGGAACAGGGGGCUUUGGAUGCCGGGUCUAACCAAAGCUCAGAGCGCUGUCUGGAUGGCUGGGUGUUCAGCAAGGAGAGAUACGUGUCCACCAUUGUGACUGAGUGGGAUCUGGUGUGUGAUGAUGAAUGGAAAACUCCUUUUACAGUCACCUUGUUCUUCUUUGGGGUGCUGAUGGGGUCGUUUCUGUCAGGAAUUAUAUCAGACAGGUAUGGAAGAAAAUGUAUCUUCUUUGCCACACUGGCAGUCCAAACUGUCUUUAGCUUAAUCCAGGCAGCUUCCAACAGCUGGGAGAUGUUCUGUGUGUUCUACUUCAUUGUCGGCCUGGGACAAAUAGCAAAUUAUUGUGCAGCUUUCGUUCUAGGAUGUGAGCUUCUGAAUAAGUCAUGCCGUGUCAGCUUUGCCACUCUGGGUGUCAGCUUAUCGUACGCUUUCGGCUAUCUGUGCCUCCCUGUCUUUGCCUACUUCAUCCGGGACUGGAGAAUGCUUACGGUGGCCUUGUCUGCUCCAGGAUUCCUGUACAUACCUAUGUGGUGGUUUAUCCCAGAGUCCCCUCUCUGGCUACUGUCUCAGGGUCGAGUGGAGGAGGCUGAGGCCAUCAUUAGAGCUGCUGCCAAGAAGAACGGCAUCACUCCUCCUGACGUCAUCUUCAAGAGAGACGACACUGCACAGCUGAUGGAAAAGGAUGAUGGAGAUGAUCAGAAAAAAUAUACAUGGCUGGAUCUCAUAAGAACAACAAAUAUAAGAAAUAUCACAAUCCUGAAUGUAAUAAUUUGGUCAAUAAUAUCUCUGACUUACUACGGACUGUCAUUAAACACCCCUAAUAUGGAUGGAGAUCCUUACCUGAACUGUGUCUUUGCUGCUGGCACUGAGUUUGCCGGGUACACUAUGAUGUAUUUUGCGGGGCGUUAUGUUUCACGACGCUUGACGCUGUCAUCCUGCAUAUUUUUCUGUGGGAUCAUGCUGCUCCUCAUCAAGAUUGUUCCAGCAGAACUGGGCGCUUUGAGUGUCACCUUGGCCAUGUUUGGAAAGAUCUCCAUGACGGGGGCCUUUGCUUUUGUCUAUCUCUAUGGUACUGAGCUGCUGCCCACCGUGGUGCGGAACAUGGGCCUGGGAAUGACCACUAUGGCCUCUCGAGUGGGCAGCAUGUUAUCUGCGCAGAUAGCCUACAUAGGGACAUAUAAUAAGGUGUUACCCUAUAUUCUUAUGGGGUGCAUGUCCAUAAUCUGUGGGGUUUUAAGUCUGCUAUUACCAGAAACAAAAGAUGAGGCGCUUCCGGAGCACAUCAGCCAAGUUAAACCUCUCCAUUGAUGCAGUGACUGAGACUGGGAGAUGGGCCUUCCCAUUGCCUUGGGAUGGUAAGUAUUGAUCUAUUGGCAGUGGAGAAGACCCUUUUAAUUGUACCACCUUCUCUCUUCCUUCACUGUUGUCUCUGUCCACAGAAACUGCUUUUCAGUUAUAGCCGUAGCCUUUCAACUUCUGUCAGAAAAAGACGUUGAGAUUGGUGUAGCAACGUAGCAUAGGCUGUUUUGGAUAGCGACAUUGGACAGAAAUAUAGACAUAACGAGUUCAUUUGAUGAAGAAUACGUGCAGUUUGAGCCAUCUAGAUCGACAAAAGGUGAAGCAAAUUGGCAUACUUUAUCAGUAUAGCAAAGGCUAAUGUGAAUAGUUGAAUUAAAUGCUCCUUGUGCGUUUUGUCGAGUUCAGAGACAAAAGCAGUGUUUGACAUGGUAAUGCUGUCUUUUAAGAAACGUUCAGUGGCCUGAUCAGUAGACCUAGUCUACUCUACAGGGUUUAACAUGUAUUGUGAACACUGUUCACACAACUUUAUUGGUUGGUUAAACACACUAGCACAAUCCCACAAUCUGUAAGUAGCCUAGGCUGCAGGUUAAAACAUUUCAAACCAAUUUUACAAAUUAAAGCCUAGUCUACCCUACCCAGUUUAUUUAUCACCUGGUUUGGUCCAACAAAUAUUCAGACUUAUCUUAUUCAGACUUAUUCUAAUAGUCUACUAUGAAGUGUCCAUUAGGCCUAUGAAAUCUUCAGAAAUGUCUGAUAACUUCAGACAUAAAGAAAGAAAGAAAGAAAACUUGUGUAGAUUACUGAGGAGAGGAGGGCCAGGCUGAAGCAUGUUGCCAAACAGUGCAAGUGGGCCCCUUCACACUUAGGCCCAAGCCAAAAAGAAAUAAAGGUAUUUUCUUGUAAAAAUGAGUUAUUUUGUAGUUUGUUUUCUUUAUAAAUCUAUGAUUUUAGGCAACUUCAUACUCCAUGGAAGCUAUGCACUAUUGGCAACAAUGUCUCUCGCGCUUGUUUUGCUAUGAAACGGCCAUUUCCCUCGUCGCACGCCCUUCUCACCUUUUUCACCCCUGACCUGUUUUCAUGCCUGAUUUGAGUUACAGGAGCAACGCCUCUCUGAUGCACAGACCUUUGAUACCCUAGUAGGUUUUACAAGUCUCGAAGUAAUGGAUUCCCUAGAAUAAAAUAAUACAGUGCUCUCACACACUGUUAGAUUCCUCUGUGGAGUGUCAGUCAACUUUAUUAUGGACUUAUUUCAACAGGUGCUGCAAAUUUCAAGAAUUGGUGGGCGGAACACCAAGGACUGUGCUGGGUUGGACAGGUCUCUACAUGAGCAUGUCAGAAUAGGUGACGUUUAUACAGUAGUGCUCAUUAGUUUACACACCCAUGCUAAAGUUGACUAAAAAGAGGAAUAAAAAAAUAAAAUUGUCCCACAUACACACAUCACAUACCCUUCGCCAUACCUAGAAAUUGACAUGGAGUGCUUUCCAUAAGAUCAUCUUUCAAUGCAAAUCAAACCAGCUAUUAGGCUAACCGAAAUAAAACCAUGUCAAUCUCUAGGUAUGUUUAAGGGUAUGUGAUGUGUGCUAUUUUAAUUCCAAAGGCCGAGGGACCUUUAUCAGAAUACACAGUAUGAAAUAACUAUACAAAUUUGCCGGCCUCUAUGGGAAUUAAAGAUAGGGGUUGUAUACGUAUGCCCCCUGUAUUUUAAGGAAGAACAUUUAUUUAUUUGCAAUACAUUAUUCAUUCAUAAAGAAAAUUGGGGUCCUUGUUGGAAAUAGGACAAGUUGGAUUUGUCCUAUUUUUUUGCUUAAGGCAUCAAGAUCAAUUUACAAAAGAUUUUUUUUUUUUUUUUAUUCCUCUUUUUAGUUAACUUUAACAUGGGUGUGUAAACGUAUGAGCUUAACUGUAGACCAGCUGUGGACAAGGAGAUAAGUAGAGGGAUAAAAGGAGGACCACCCUAGGGGACACUGAUCAACUAGUGUAAAUGAUUUAUUGCAUUUGUAAUGUUAUUCCUACAUAUAUCCUUCACAUUCAUUUAUUGAAAUGUAUUUUUCUUUAGGCUCUUCACCAACAGCCUCAUGGCCAAAUUUAAUUUGAAGGGCAAGGGGAAAAAGGGGAAACAUCCUUUAGAGGGAACAAAGGUUUAUAGAGCAAUACAAGAAGGGCUCAUGAAAUUCGAUCCCACAGCCACCGAGGAGAACAUCAAAGCGAACGUGUCCGAGCACCUGAAGCACGCGCCGCAGCCGUGGAGGAUUUACAACGCCCUGAUAAGCCAGCCCCCUCACUCCGAGACGGCCCUAAAUGAUAUCGGCCUCCACCUCACCAGUGUUGUGGUGACAGAGGCGUGGACAUUUAGUCAAGAUUGUGUUUCCCUCUUGAAAAGUUUUUUUAUAACACUGGAGCUACUGGAUGGCUCACAUACAUACACACACACACACACACACUCACUUACACAGGAUUUUUAAAGAGUUAAAUUUAAAGAGUUCAAUUCAAUUAAAAUCUUAUUCAGAUAGAUAGAUAGAUACUUUAUUGAUCCCCAGGGGAAAUUCAAGAAAUUCAUUCAUAAUUCUGCUUCAACUGUAUUAUGCCUGAUAUGUCUGGUGCCCUGAUGCCGUUCAGGGCCAUUUGUUUUUGAAUAAAGAUGGAAAUGGGUAUUGAAUUGUGA
Molecule: RNA transcript, 4283 nt
Organism: Alosa alosa (allis shad)
Lineage: Eukaryota; Metazoa; Chordata; Actinopteri; Clupeiformes; Clupeidae
Gene name: solute carrier family 22 member 4-like
Exons: 11
Source: RefSeq, a predicted model, not a curated record